Molecule: ribosomal RNA, 557 nt
Filed under: uncultured bacterium
Lineage: Bacteria
Also listed under: 1 other name
Description: bacterial SSU rRNA
Rfam family: Bacterial small subunit ribosomal RNA
Source: RNAcentral
ACGGGUGCGUAACGCGUGGGAAUCUGCCCUUAGGUUCGGAAUAACAGCUGGAAACGGCUGCUAAUACCGGAUGAUGACGAAAGUCCAAAGAUUUAUUGCCUGAGGAUGAGCCCGCGUUGGAUUAGGUAGUUGGUGGGGUAAAGGCCUACCAAGCCGACGAUCCAUAGCUGGUCUGAGAGGAUGAUCAGCCACACUGGGACUGAGACACGGCCCAGACUCCUACGGGAGGCAGCAGUGGGGAAUAUUGGACAAUGGGCGAAAGCCUGAUCCAGCAAUGCCGCGUGAGUGAUGAAGGCCCUAGGGUUGUAAAGCUCUUUUACCCGGGAAGAUAAUGACUGUACCGGGAGAAUAAGCCCCGGCUAACUCCGUGCCAGCAGCCGCGGUAAUACGGAGGGGGCUAGCGUUGUUCGGAAUUACUGGGCGUAAAGCGCACGUAGGCGGCUUUGUAAGUCAGAGGUGAAAGCCUGGAGCUCAACUCCAGAACUGCCUUUGAGACUGCAUCGCUUGAAUCCAGGAGAGGUCAGUGGAAUUCCGAGUGUAGAGGUGAAAUUCGUAGA